This 68-nucleotide transfer RNA is filed under the name Rhizophagus irregularis. RNAcentral's name for it is "tRNA-Lys". Lineage: Eukaryota; Fungi; Glomeromycota; Glomeromycetes; Glomerales; Glomeraceae. The record is from RNAcentral.
GCCCGGAUAGCUCAGUCGGUAGAGCGUGAGGCUUUUAACCGACAAUUUCGGUCCGAAACCUUAAGGCC